AACUUAGUAAUUUGUUUUAUAUUUUAGUUCAUUAAGGAUAAGCUUAAUGAAAGGUACAGGAGAAAAUAUUCGCUUUAGGUUGCCUAUUUAGGCUUGAAAUUAGUCAUUGUAGCAGAACUUGUUAUAAAGCAGCUCUCUUAAAAAAGAAAAUUUUUAUAUUUUUCUUUCUGUAUUACAAUAAGGGUAAAGGACCAAAUUAAUAAGUCCAAUUUAUUUAUGCUAAAAUGAGUAUUAUAAACCAACAUAUACGGGUGAAUAAAGUAUUGGAAAUCCCUAGUAACAUGUAAUUUUAAAGUUAAAAUGAAAGGAAGGAAUUCGGCAAAUUUUAGCUUCGCCUGUUUAUCAAAAACAUGGCUCUUUGUUGUCUUAAUAUAGAGAGUCAAACCUGCCCAGUGAAAUUUUUCAACGGCCGCGGUACCCUGACCGUGCAAAGGUAGCGUAAUCAUUUGCCUUAUAAUUGAAGGCUUGCAUGAAUGGUUUAACGAGAGCAUUGCUGUCUCCCACUCAAUAAGUAGAACUUGACCUUUAGGUGAAGAGGCCUAAAUAUAAUUGAAAGACAAAAAGACCCUGUCGAGCUUAAAAACUAAGUUAGAAAUGGAUAUAAAAUAUUUUAAAUUUAUUACUAACUAUAUUUUUUGGUUGGGGCGACCAAGGAACAACAAAAGCUUCUUUUAUUUAUAUUAACUUAUAAGUACGGAUCCAGCCUAAAGCUGAUUAAAAGGAUUAGUUACCGCAGGGAUAACAGCAUAAUCUCUCUUGAGAGACCAAAUCGAAAGAGGGGGUUGUGACCUCGAUGUUGGACUAGAAUAU
Molecule: ribosomal RNA, 810 nt
Filed under: Sulcospira quangtriensis
Lineage: Eukaryota; Metazoa; Mollusca; Gastropoda; Pachychilidae
Description: partial 16S ribosomal RNA
Rfam family: Bacterial large subunit ribosomal RNA
Source: RNAcentral